GACCGGCUGGGCUGCGCCGGAGAAACAGGCGCGGCUGCUGCCCGCGCUGGCCAGCGGCCAGACCAUUCUGGCGCUGGCAU
RNAcentral lists this transfer RNA (80 nucleotides) under compost metagenome. Its description in RNAcentral is "tRNA-Ser". The record is from RNAcentral.